RNAcentral lists this ribosomal RNA (468 nucleotides) under uncultured bacterium. Its description in RNAcentral is "partial 16S ribosomal RNA". It matches the Rfam family "Bacterial small subunit ribosomal RNA", at positions 28 to 507 of the family's 1533-position model. The record is from RNAcentral.
GACGAACGCUGGCGGCGUGCUUAACACAUGCAAGUCGAACGGAAAGGCCCUGCUUUUGUGGGGUGCUCGAGUGGCGAACGGGUGAGUAACACGUGAGUAACCUGCCCUUGACUUUGGGAUAACUUCAGGAAACUGGGGCUAAUACCGGAUAGGAGCUCCUGCUGCAUGGUGGGGGUUGGAAAGUUUCGGCGGUUGGGGAUGGACUCGCGGCUUAUCAGCUUGUUGGUGGGGUAGUGGCUUACCAAGGCUUUGACGGGUAGCCGGCCGGAGAGGGUGACCGGCCACAUUGGGACUGCGAUACGGCCCAGACUCCGACGGGAGGCAGCAGUGGGGAAUAUUGCACAAUGGGCGGAAGCCUGAUGCAGCAACGCCGCGUGCGGGAUGACGGCCUUCGGGUUGUAAACCGCUUUCGCCUGUGACGAAGCGUGAGUGACGGUAAUGGGUAAAGAAGCACCGGCUAACUACGUG